This 73-nucleotide transfer RNA is filed under the name Neotoma lepida (desert woodrat). It matches the Rfam family "tRNA". Rfam says of the family: Transfer RNA (tRNA) molecules are approximately 80 nucleotides in length. Lineage: Eukaryota; Metazoa; Chordata; Mammalia; Rodentia; Cricetidae. The record is from Rfam by way of RNAcentral.
GUCGAGAUGGCUCAGUGGUUAAGAGCACUGGCUGCUCUUCCAGAGGACCUGGGUUCCAGUCCCAGCACCCACA